UAGCUCAAUUGGUAGAGUGCUUGCCUUGCAUGCAUAAGGCCCUGGGUUCAACCCCCAG
RNAcentral lists this transfer RNA (58 nucleotides) under Ictidomys tridecemlineatus (thirteen-lined ground squirrel). RNAcentral describes it as "Spermophilus tridecemlineatus (thirteen-lined ground squirrel) tRNA". It matches the Rfam family "tRNA", at positions 8 to 63 of the family's 71-position model. From Rfam's summary of the family: Transfer RNA (tRNA) molecules are approximately 80 nucleotides in length. Their secondary structure includes four short double-helical elements and three loops (D, anti-codon, and T loops). Further hydrogen bonds mediate the characteristic L-shaped molecular structure. tRNAs have two regions of fundamental functional importance: the anti-codon, which is responsible for specific mRNA codon recognition, and the 3' end, to which the tRNAs corresponding amino acid is attached (by aminoacyl-tRNA synthetases). tRNAs cope with the degeneracy of the genetic code in two manners: having more than one tRNA (with a specific anti-codon) for a particular amino acid; and 'wobble' base-pairing, i.e. permitting non-standard base-pairing at the 3rd anti-codon position. The record is from Rfam by way of RNAcentral. Lineage: Eukaryota; Metazoa; Chordata; Mammalia; Rodentia; Sciuridae. RNAcentral also lists the same sequence under 1 other name.